Molecule: ribosomal RNA, 735 nt
Filed under: uncultured Fusobacterium sp.
Lineage: Bacteria; Fusobacteriati; Fusobacteriota; Fusobacteriia; Fusobacteriales; Fusobacteriaceae
Description: bacterial SSU rRNA
Rfam family: Bacterial small subunit ribosomal RNA
Source: RNAcentral
GAUGAACGCUGACAGAAUGCUUAACACAUGCAAGUCAACUUGAAUUUGGGUUUUUAACUUAGGUUUGGGUGGCGGACGGGUGAGUAACGCGUAAAGAACUUGCCUCACAGCUAGGGACAACAUUUGGAAACGAAUGCUAAUACCUAAUAUUAUGAUAAUAGGGCAUCCUGUAAUUAUGAAAGCUAUAAGCGCUGUGAGAGAGCUAUGCGUCCCAUUAGCUAGUUGGAGAGGUAACGGCUCACCAAGGCGAUGAUGGGUAGCCGGCCUGAGAGGGUGAUCGGCCACAAGGGGACUGAGACACGGCCCUUACUCCUACGGGAGGCAGCAGUGGGGAAUAUUGGACAAUGGACCAAGAGUCUGAUCCAGCAAUUCUGUGUGCACGAUGAAGUUUUUCGGAAUGUAAAGUGCUUUCAGUUGGGAAGAAAGAAAUGACGGUACCAACAGAAGAAGUGACGGCUAAAUACGUGCCAGCAGCCGCGGUAAUACGUAUGUCACGAGCGUUAUCCGGAUUUAUUGGGCGUAAAGCGCGUCUAGGUGGUUAUGUAAGUCUGAUGUGAAAAUGCAGGGCUCAACUCUGUAUUGCGUUGGAAACUGUAUAACUAGAGUACUGGAGAGGUAAGCGGAACUACAAGUGUAGAGGUGAAAUUCGUAGAUAUUUGUAGGAAUGCCGAUGGGGAAGCCAGCUUACUGGACAGAUACUGACGCUGAAGCGCGAAAGCGUGGGUAGCAAACAGG